Arachis ipaensis is the source of this 481-nucleotide non-coding RNA. Lineage: Eukaryota; Viridiplantae; Streptophyta; Magnoliopsida; Fabales; Fabaceae. The record is from RefSeq and is a predicted model, not a curated record.
AAUUUUGUGGUUUUCGACUAACUGAGUGGCUGAAGAUGAUGCUUUCUUGGUCAAGCAAAUUGGCCAGAAUUUCCGGUAUUCUAAAAUAGAGGUAUAUUCCUCUUCUUAUAUUCAUGAAUAGUCAGUUUUGUUCCUUGUUAACAUACAUGCAUCAUCUAUGUAUGGAAGACUAAACAUAGAUCGAAUCCAUUUUCUUAUCAAGGCAAGAAAGGAGGAACAAAUCCAAGCUGCUCAUGACGAAGCCAUGUUUGGUGCUUCAGCACUUUCACCUCUUACCAGUACUGACAGUGAGCCUGAAAGGGAGAAUGAGAAAGAAGUUGAUAAAAAAACUGUUGUUACAAGCCUCUUAAGUGAAACGGAGUGCUGAAAUGGUGACCACAUGCUAUUUUGAGGGUUCAAGAAUAUUUUGAUUCAUAGAGACACUAAUCUAUGUUAGAACUUUUAACUUUUGGUUGAACUUGUGCAAGACAUAUAACUUGUA